Molecule: transfer RNA, 33 nt
Filed under: Dremomys rufigenis belfieldi
Lineage: Eukaryota; Metazoa; Chordata; Mammalia; Rodentia; Sciuridae
Description: partial tRNA-His
Source: RNAcentral
CUAAAGAUAGAGAUUAAACCCCUCUUAUUUACC